This 752-nucleotide ribosomal RNA is filed under the name Hylophorbus sp. 'Cape Nelson'. RNAcentral's name for it is "partial small subunit ribosomal RNA". The stretch from base 1 to 505 matches the Rfam family "Bacterial small subunit ribosomal RNA", at positions 796 to 1533 of the family's 1533-position model. Lineage: Eukaryota; Metazoa; Chordata; Amphibia; Anura; Microhylidae. The record is from RNAcentral.
CUAGCUGUAAAAUAUUCACCCACACCAAAACUCGCCAGGGAAUUACGAGCCCAAGCUUAAAACCCAAAGGACUUGACGGUUUCCUAUCCCCCUAGAGGAGCCUGUUCUAUAAUCGAUUCUCCCCGAUCAACCUCACCACUUCUCGAAUAUACAGCCUGUAUACCUCCGUCGCAAGCUUACCCUAUGAAAGCAUAUUAGUGAGCUUAAAGAUUUUUACACCCACACGUCAGGUCAAGGUGCAGCCCAUGAACUGGAAAGAAAUGGGCUACAAUCUCUACCUUAGAACAAACGAAAGACUGCAUGAAACACAGUUACUAAAGGCGGAUUUAGUAGUAAAAAGAAAAUAGAGAGUUCUUUUUAAUUGGGCACUAGGAUGCGUACACACCGCCCGUCACCCUCUUCAAUAAUAAAAGCUUUUAAUGUUUAUAACCUCACACAUUCUUACAGAAGAGGCAAGUCGUAACAUGGUAAGCGUACUGGAAAGUGCGCUUGGAACAAAAUGUAGCUUAAUAAAAAGCAUCUUGCUUACACCAAGAAUAUGUCUGUAAAAAUCUGACCAUUUUGAGCCUAAAACCCAGCCCCACCCUCACCAAAUGUAACACCAAUUAAUAAAUAACCAAACUAAAACAUUUUCUUAACCAAGUAAAGGCGAUUAAAAAGUUUCUAGGAGCCUCAACAUUAGUACCGCAAGGGAAAAGUGAAAUAAAAAUGAAAUAAGUUUAAAGCACAUUAAAGUAGGGCUCAGCCCCCGU